GCAUCAGUGGUUUAGUGGUAAAAUCCAUCGUUGCCAUUCUUGAAAGACACUCGAUGGGCCCCGUGUUCGAUUCACGGCUGAUGCA
Molecule: transfer RNA, 85 nt
Filed under: Pyricularia oryzae 70-15
Lineage: Eukaryota; Fungi; Ascomycota; Sordariomycetes; Magnaporthales; Pyriculariaceae
Description: Magnaporthe oryzae 70-15 tRNA
Rfam family: tRNA
About the family: Transfer RNA (tRNA) molecules are approximately 80 nucleotides in length. Their secondary structure includes four short double-helical elements and three loops (D, anti-codon, and T loops).
Source: Rfam by way of RNAcentral